Molecule: long non-coding RNA, 403 nt
Filed under: Chinchilla lanigera (long-tailed chinchilla)
Lineage: Eukaryota; Metazoa; Chordata; Mammalia; Rodentia; Chinchillidae
Description: lncRNA (ENSCLAG00000024397.1)
Source: RNAcentral
UUUAGAGGAACUGGGAACAGAACCAAGUUUCUUAUUACCAAGACACCUGCAGGUCGUUCUUUCUCAGACGUUACCAGCUCCUUCCCUAAGCACCUGAAAGCACUUAUGUGGAGCCUAUCACCACAGCACCAUGAGAAACACUGCUGCUGCUCACCCUCAUCACCACUCCCAGGGAAAGAGCUCAGACCAACUGCCGCAGCCCUUCCCCGCAGAUGGAGUGCUUUUUGUUAGGAUGUUCUCAAGCACCUGGAUGAAGAGCAAGAAGUGCCAUGAACUUUUCAGCUGGCUCGUUGGGAUGACACCUUCAUGAUGCCUACUAUCACAGUCUGACUUAACCUUCCUCGUGGACUUCUGUCGUGAGAAAUUACCUGGACUAAGUUUCUUCAUUUGGAGCAAUCAUAAC